AUUGAACGCUGGCGGCAGGCCUAACACAUGCAAGUCGAACGGUAGCACAGAGAGCUUGCUCUCGGGUGACGAGUGGCGGACGGGUGAGUAAUGUCUGGGAAACUGCCCGAUGGAGGGGGAUAACUACUGGAAACGGUAGCUAAUACCGCAUAACGUCGCAAGACCAAAGUGGGGGACCUUCGGGCCCCACACCAUCGGAUGUGCCCAGAUGGGAUUAGCUAGUAGGUGGGGUAAUGGCUCACCUAGGCGACGAUCCCUAGCUGGUCUGAGAGGAUGACCAGCCACACUGGAACUGAGACACGGUCCAGACUCCUACGGGAGGCAGCAGUGGGGAAUAUUGCACAACGGGCGCAAGCCUGAUGCAGCCAUGCCGCGUGUAUGAAGAAGGCCUUCGGGUUGUAAAGUACUUUCAGCGGGGAGGAAGGCGGUGGAGUUAAUAACUUCACCGAUUGACGUUACCCGCAGAAGAAGCACCGGCUAACUCCGUGCCAGCAGCCGCCGUAA
RNAcentral lists this ribosomal RNA (504 nucleotides) under uncultured bacterium. Its description in RNAcentral is "partial 16S ribosomal RNA". It matches the Rfam family "Bacterial small subunit ribosomal RNA", at positions 30 to 523 of the family's 1533-position model. The record is from RNAcentral.